RNAcentral lists this small RNA (66 nucleotides) under Ectopseudomonas oleovorans. RNAcentral describes it as "Pseudomonas oleovorans Pseudomonas sRNA P26". It matches the Rfam family "Pseudomonas sRNA P26". From Rfam's summary of the family: P26 is conserved across many Gammaproteobacteria species and appears to be consistently located between the DNA directed RNA polymerase (beta subunit) and 50S ribosomal protein L7/L12 genes. Lineage: Bacteria; Pseudomonadati; Pseudomonadota; Gammaproteobacteria; Pseudomonadales; Pseudomonadaceae. The record is from RNAcentral.
CACCUUGCGUCUACAGCCCGCGCGACUCGCACAAGGCUGAUGGCUGGUGGCUUUUGCCACCGGCCU